UUUUCCGGUUGAUCCUGCCGGACCCGACUGCUAUUUGGGUGAGGAUAAGCCAUGCGAGUUGAAUGGGAUACCUAAAGUUCCCAUGGCAAACUGCUCAGUAACACAUGAUCAACUUGCCCUAUAGAGAAAAAUAACCUCGGGAAACUGAGGAUAAUGUUUCAUAGCUGAAUUGGCUUGGAAAAGUUUUUCAGUUAAAGGGAUAAAAAAAAUGGUUUUUAUCUGCUAUAGGAUAGGAUCGUGGUCGAUUAUGGUUGUUGGUGAGGUAAUGGCUCACCAAGCCGAUAAUCGAUAGGGGCCGUGAGAGCGGGAGCCCCGAGAUGGGUACUGAGACAACGACCCAGGCCUUACGAGGCGCAGCAGGCGCGAAACCUCCGCAAUACACGAAAGUGUGACGGGGUUACCCAAAGUGUUCAAUUUUGAACUGUGGUAGGUGAGUAAUGUUCCCUACUAGAAAGGAGAGGGCAAGGCUGGUGCCAGCCGCGGCGGUAAAACCAGCUCUUCAAGUGGUCGGGAUAAUUAUUGGGCUUAAAGUGUCCGUAGCCGGUUUAGUAAGUUCCUGGUAAAAUCGGGUAGCUUAACUAUCUAUAUGCUAGGAAUACUACUAUACUAGAGGGCGGGAGAGGUCUGAGGUACUCCAGGGGUAGGGGUGAAAUCUUAUAAUCCUUGUAGGACCACCAGUGGCGAAGGCGUCAGACUGGAACGCGCCUGACGGUGAGGGACGAAAGCCAGGGGAGCGAACCGGAUUAGAUACCCGGGUAGUCCUGGCCGUAAACGAUGCAUACUAGGUGAUGGCACGGCCAUGAGCCAUGUCAGUGCCGUAGGGAAACCGUUAAGUGUGCCGCCUGGGAAGUACGGUCGCAAGGCUAAAACUUAAAGGAAUUGGCGGGGGAGCAC
RNAcentral lists this ribosomal RNA (894 nucleotides) under uncultured archaeon. RNAcentral describes it as "bacterial SSU rRNA". It matches the Rfam family "Archaeal small subunit ribosomal RNA", at positions 1 to 879 of the family's 1478-position model. The record is from RNAcentral.